GGCUCAAAACCCCAGAAAAGGGGUCCUGAGGGCUGGGGGGAGCAGUUCCCAGUGCCCUCCCAGUUCCCUCCCAGUUCCCUCCCAGUUCCCAGACUGGCCUUUGCCGCGAUUCGGGGUCGGGGUUGGUGUUGUCGACGACAACGGGGCGGCCCCGAGCCAGGGCAGCCGAGCAGGCGGAGACGCAGCGCUGCCACGAGCCCAGCGUGUCCUGGGGGUUACCGGGGGUGUCUCAGAGCUCGCUCUGGGCCAGGCUGCCCGAACAGCCACAGACACAGCGUGGCCGUCAGCCCACAGCGCCCUGGAGCUCACACGGGGGUCAGCAGCUCACCCUGUUCACGUACUCAUAUCCUGCGGGAAUCAGGUGCCGCUUCACGAAAGUGGAUUUGCCGGCUGAAGGGAAAAAAAAAAUCUUCCUUUUUCCUCUCACAUUUCCUACAAUUUUCCAGUUUUCAACCCUUUUUUCCCUCCUCACGUUUCCCACAUUUUUCCCCUCACAUUCCCCCUUUUACCCCUCACAUUUCCUACCCUUUUCCCUUCAGGUUUCCCACCCUCUUCUCCCCUCAUGUUUCUCGCCCUUUUCUCCCCUCACAUUUCUCACUUUUCCCCUCACAUUCCCCCUUUUCCCCUCACGUUUCCCGCUCUUUUCCCCCCUCACGUUUCCCACCAUUUUCUCCCCUCAUGUUCCCCACCAUUUUCUCCCCUCACGUUUCCCGCUCUUUUCCCCCCUCACGUUUCCCGCCCUUUUCUCCCCUCACAUUUCCCGCUCUUUUCUCCCCUCACGUUUCCCGCUCUUUUCUCCCCUCACGUUUCCCGCUCUUUUCUCCCCUCACGUUUUCCUGCUCUUUUCUCCCCUCACAUUUCCCGCUCUUUUCUCCCCUCACGUUUCCCGCUCUUUUUCCCCCUCAUGUUUCCUGCUCUUUUCCCCCCUCACGUCUCCUGCCGUUUUUAACCCCUUUUCCCUCUCUUUCCAGCUGUUGGGGAUCAGAAGCCAGCGCUGGCUCAGUGGUCAGUGCAGGGGUCAGAGAUCAGUGGUCACUCACCCCCAGGGAAGCCGACGGUCAGCAGCACCUCAGGCCUGUCCGACACCAGCUCGGCCUCGGGGGGUUCCGGGGGGGCUUCGGGGUCCAGGACACGCUGGGGACAAAGGUCAAAGGUCAGGAUUGGGGACAGGCUCAGGGGUCACUUGUGGGCUCAGGGGUCACUCACGGGGUCGAAGGCCGGGAGGUCAAAGGGCGCUGGGGCCCAGCCCAGGAACUUUUCCUCAGGAGUCAGAAACCGCAGCCCCGCGUUGAGAGCGAACUGGGAACACUGGGGUCAACUGGGGGCACUGGGGGGAACUGGGGGCACUGGGGGUGA
RNAcentral lists this long non-coding RNA (1356 nucleotides) under Cyanistes caeruleus (blue tit). RNAcentral describes it as "lncRNA (ENSCCEG00000007945.1)". The record is from RNAcentral. Lineage: Eukaryota; Metazoa; Chordata; Aves; Passeriformes; Paridae.